UAUAACCAGGAAGAGUACAGCUCUUCCUGCCCGUGGGUCCCGUCCUAGUGCUUUAAUAAAAUCACCUUUUUGCA
Molecule: long non-coding RNA, 74 nt
Organism: Leopardus geoffroyi (Geoffroy's cat)
Lineage: Eukaryota; Metazoa; Chordata; Mammalia; Carnivora; Felidae
Exons: 3
Source: RefSeq, a predicted model, not a curated record